GUGAAACCGAAACGGAGCCGAGCGCCUGACUGAGGCCGAAAGCUCCGGCCGCUCCGCGUGUAAACAGUGAAACAGCGUCACGUGACCGACACCGCCCCUCCCCCCGCGGGCUUGGCCCCCCUCGGCCCCGCCCUCUUUCUCCCCGCGGGCCCAGGAGCGCGCGCAUGCGCGCUGCUUGGAAACCGGCUGGGGGCCGGGCCACACGUACUGCGCGCGGGCUAGGCGUGCGCGGGCUCGUUGGAGGCGGGAAGGCGGGAAGGGCGGUGACAGGUCGCACCGCGGGCUGAGGUCGCGCCGCUUCGUGGCGCCUGGCGAGGGCCAGAGCGCCUAUUCCUGUAGAUGGUCAGGUGGAGGCGUGGGAAAGAUCCUCCUGUAGUGAUCAAGUGUAUUCACUUAUUCGAAGUCUGGGCUGGCUUGGGUUGGAGGCUUUUUUUUUUUUUUUUUUUAAGUGGGGCACAUCUAAUUGAGCUGGAGGUGGAGUACGGGUCCAGCCUAAAGGUGAAGAAUUAGAUCGAAGACGACUUUGAACUAGUUACAGUGGCAACCACGGUGACCCAGGCUUGUGUGGCCCUUAGAGGCAGAAGGUGAUACAGGAAGGCUAGAGGGGACUUGUACUGGCAUAUAGCCCCUCUCUCAGGUCAGGACAGGCUCUGGAAACAGGAGGGAAUUUUUCUCUGAUCUUCACUGUGAGAACCUGGUGGGUUCCUGGAGGCAAAGCCCAUGAAAAUAUAGGCGUCCCCCCAAGAUUGGUCCCUCAGGAGUUUUUAACUCUCAACCAAGUCUACACCCAGCCUCAAGCAAUUCAUCUAAAGCACCUUUUCAGUGCUCCUACCAAUAAUUGGCUCCAGCAGCUUCUGCCUUAGGUAAUCUCUGCUGUGAUUCUCCGUAUUCACCUGCCUCUCCACAUUUUGGGCUGGUGGUUUGCCCUGUGACCUGAGUUCUCUGGGUCUAAUAAAAGUCAAUGCUUCUCCUUUUGCUUAGCAUCUUUCUUGUUGUGAGGCUGGGAGUGACAACUUAUAAGCUCUGUAUAUGUCAGAGCUCAAUAUUAGACAUUUGAGUUGGGAUUUCUCUUGCACCUUGAGGCUGAAUGUCAGGAGCCCUAUUCAUAGCCCAAACAUCACCAAUAAGCCUGCACAAGUACAACUAUAGUUUUCAAGGUCAGUUCAGUAUCUACUUCGUUAUGAGAUAAUUACAUUAUUUUCUUUUUAUCCAUUAAGAACAAA
Long non-coding RNA from Felis catus (domestic cat), 1223 nucleotides. RefSeq lists it as uncharacterized. Lineage: Eukaryota; Metazoa; Chordata; Mammalia; Carnivora; Felidae. The record is from RefSeq and is a predicted model, not a curated record. The transcript is spliced from 3 exons.